Molecule: ribosomal RNA, 1144 nt
Filed under: Staphylococcus pseudintermedius
Lineage: Bacteria; Bacillati; Bacillota; Bacilli; Caryophanales; Staphylococcaceae
Description: bacterial SSU rRNA
Rfam family: Bacterial small subunit ribosomal RNA
Source: RNAcentral
GCUUGCUCCUUUGACGUUAGCGGCGGACGGGUGAGUAACACGUGGGUAACCUACCUAUAAGACUGGAAUAACUCCGGGAAACCGGGGCUAAUGCCGGAUAACAUGUUGAACCGCAUGGUUCUACAGUGAAAGCGGUCUUGCUGUCACUUAUAGAUGGACCCGCGCCGUAUAGCUAGUUGGUGGGGUAACGGCCUACCAAGGCGACGAUACGUAGCCGACCUGAGAGGGUGAUCGGCCACACUGGAACUGAGACACGGUCCAGACUCCUCGGGAGGCAGCAGUAGGGAAUCUUCCGCAAUGGGCGAAAGCCUGACGGAGCAACGCCGCGUGAGUGAUGAAGGUCUUCGGAUCGUAAAGCUCUGUUGUUAGGGAAGAACAAAUGUGUAAGUAACUGUGCACAUCUUGACGUACCUAACCAGAAAGCCACGGCUAACUACGUGCCAGCAGCCGCGGUAAUACGUAGGUGGCAAGCGUUAUCCGGAAUUAUUGGGCGUAAAGCGCGCGUAGGCGGUUUUUUAAGUCUGUGUGAAAGCCCACGGCUCAACCGUGGAGGGUCAUUGGAAACUGGAAAACUUGAGUGCAGAAGAGGAAAGUGGAAUUCCAUGUGUAGCGGUGAAUGCGCAGAGAUAUGGAGGAACACCAGUGGCGAAGGCGGCUUUCUGGUCUGCAACUGACGCUGAUGUGCGAAAGCGUGGGGAUCAAACAGGAUUAGAUACCCUGGUGUCCACGCCGUAAACGAUGAGUGCUAAGUGUUAGGGGGUUUCCGCCCCUUAGUGCUGCAGCUAACGCAUUAAGCACUCCGCCUGGGGAGUACGGUCGCAAGACGAAACUCAAAGGAAUUGACGGGGACCCGCACAAGCGGUGGAGCAUGUGGUUUAAUUCGAAGCAACGCGAAGAACCUUACCAAAUCUUGACAUCCUUUGACCGCUCUAGAGAUAGAGUUUUCCUCUUCGGAGGACAAAGUGACAGGUGGUGCAUGGUUGUCGUCAGCUCGUGUCGUGAGAUGUUGGGUUAAGUCCCGCAACGAGCGCAACCCUUGAACUUAGUUGCCAUCAUUCAGUUGGGCACUCUAAGUUACUGCCGGUGACAAACCGGAGGAAGGUGGGGAUGACGUCAAAUCAUCAUGCCCCUUAUGAUUGGGCUA